AUGCUUGUCCCUCGGAUUGCUAAUUCGUCUUCCGCUUCCUCUCCUGCCAGCUUCCGCUCCAUGCUACCUUCACUUUCUCUUCAAUUCUACAUACAGUUCUUUGCACUCUGGCUCGAUCGAUUGAACCUCGGUUCCACGUGGUUGGCUGAUUCUGCUGCAUUGGAAGCUUUUCUUAUUCUAAGUAAACAACAGCGGAAGGUGCAGAUCAUAGUCUUUUCCCUGCAGGUAUUUGCUUUGCACAGAUCAAUUCCUUUUUGUUCUUAUAUGUUAAAGUCUGUCUGUAUGGGCUGGGCUCUUGUCUUGCUUUCUACUUUUCUAGGAAUGCAAAGGGUGAAGGUAUGA
This 342-nucleotide ribosomal RNA is filed under the name Triticum aestivum (bread wheat). Its description in RNAcentral is "partial small subunit ribosomal RNA". Lineage: Eukaryota; Viridiplantae; Streptophyta; Magnoliopsida; Poales; Poaceae. The record is from RNAcentral.